This 468-nucleotide ribosomal RNA is filed under the name uncultured bacterium. Its description in RNAcentral is "partial 16S ribosomal RNA". It matches the Rfam family "Bacterial small subunit ribosomal RNA", at positions 29 to 507 of the family's 1533-position model. The record is from RNAcentral.
UACUAACUCUGGCGGCGUGCUUAACACAUGCGAGUCGAACGGAAAGGCCCUGCUUUUGUGGGGUGCUCGAGUGGCGAACGGGUGAGUAACACGUGAGUAACCUGCCCUUGACUUUGGGAUAACUUCAGGAAACUGGGGCUAAUACCGGAUAGGAGCUCCUGCUGCAUGGUGGGGGUUGGAAAGUUUCGGCGGUUGGGGAUGGACUCGCGGCUUAUCAGCUUGUUGGUGGGGUAGUGGCUUACCAAGGCUUUGACGGGUAGCCGGCCUGAGAGGGUGACCGGCCACAUUGGGACUGAGAUACGGCCCAGACUCCUACGGGAGGCAGCAGUGGGGAAUAUUGCACAAUGGGCGGAAGCCUGAUGCAGCAACGCCGCGUGCGGGAUGACGGCCUUCGGGUUGUAAACCGCUUUCGCCUGUGACGAAGCGUGAGUGACGGUAAUGGGUAAAGAAGCACCGGCUAACUACGUG